GGACGUUGCCAGGCGGGAGAGCAUCUGCCUUACAAGCAGAGGGUCGGCGGUUCGAGCCCGUCAUCCUCCA
This 70-nucleotide transfer RNA is filed under the name Metabacillus indicus. Its description in RNAcentral is "Bacillus indicus tRNA". It matches the Rfam family "tRNA". Rfam says of the family: Transfer RNA (tRNA) molecules are approximately 80 nucleotides in length. Their secondary structure includes four short double-helical elements and three loops (D, anti-codon, and T loops). Lineage: Bacteria; Bacillati; Bacillota; Bacilli; Caryophanales; Bacillaceae. The record is from Rfam by way of RNAcentral.